RNAcentral lists this ribosomal RNA (253 nucleotides) under uncultured bacterium. RNAcentral's name for it is "partial 16S ribosomal RNA". It matches the Rfam family "Bacterial small subunit ribosomal RNA", at positions 524 to 776 of the family's 1533-position model. The record is from RNAcentral.
UACGGAGGGUGCAAGCGUUAUCCGGAUUCACUGGGUUUAAAGGGUGCGUAGGUGGGUUGGUAAGUCCGUGGUGAAAUCCCCAAGCUUAACUUGGGAACUGCCGUGGAUACUAUCAAUCUUGAAUAUCGUUGAGGUAAGCGGAAUAUGUCAUGUAGCGGUGAAAUGCUUAGGUAUGACAUAGAACACCGAUAGCGGAGGCAGCUUACUAAGCGAUCAUUGACACUGAGGCACGAAAGCGUGGGGAGCAAACAGG